AAAUUGAAGAGUUUGAUCAUGGCUCAGAUUGAACGCUGGCGGCAGGCCUAACACAUGCAAGUCGAACGGUAACAGGAAGCAGCUUGCUGCUUUGCUGACGAGUGGCGGACGGGUGAGUAAUGUCUGGGAAACUGCCUGAUGGAGGGGGAUAACUACUGGAAACGGUGGCUAAUACCGCAUAACGUCGCAAGACCAAAGAGGGGGACCUUCGGGCCUCUUGCCAUCAGAUGUGCCCAGAUGGGAUUAGCUUGUUGGUGAGGUAACGGCUCACCAAGGCGACGAUCCCUAGCUGGUCUGAGAGGAUGACCAGCCACACUGGAACUGAGACACGGUCCAGACUCCUACGGGAGGCAGCAGUGGGGAAUAUUGCACAAUGGGCGCAAGCCUGAUGCAGCCAUGCCGCGUGUAUGAAGAAGGCCUUCGGGUUGUAAAGUACUUUCAGCGGGGAGGAAGGUGUUGUGGUUAAUAACCGCAGCAAUUGACGUUACCCGCAGAAGAAGCACCGGCUAACUCCGUGCCAGCAGCCGCGGUAAUACGGAGGGUGCAAGCGUUAAUCGGAAUUACUGGGCGUAAAGCGCACGCAGGCGGUCUGUCAAGUCG
Molecule: ribosomal RNA, 600 nt
Filed under: Salmonella enterica subsp. enterica serovar Uganda
Lineage: Bacteria; Pseudomonadati; Pseudomonadota; Gammaproteobacteria; Enterobacterales; Enterobacteriaceae
Description: bacterial SSU rRNA
Rfam family: Bacterial small subunit ribosomal RNA
Source: RNAcentral